CCUACGGGUGGCUGCAGUGGGGAAUAUUGGACAAUGGGCGAAAGCCUGAUCCAGCCAUGCCGCGUGUGUGAAGAAGGCCUUCGGGUUGUAAAGCACUUUCAGUGGGGAAGAAAGCCUUGGGGCUAAUACCCUCGAGGAAGGACAUCACCCACAGAAGAAGCACCGGCAACUCCGUGCCAGCAGCCGCGGUAAUACGGAGGGUGCGAGCGUUAAUCGGAAUUACUGAGCGUAAAGCGCGCGUAGGCGGUCUGAUAAGCCGGUUGUGAAAGCCCCGGGCUCAACCUGGGAACGGCAUCCGGAACUGUCAGGCUAGAGUGCAGGAGAGGAAGGUAGAAUUCCCGGUGUAGCGGUGAAAUGCGUAGAGAUCGGGAGGAAUACCAGUGGCGAAGGCGGCCUUCUGGACUGACACUGACGCUGAGGUGCGAAAGCGUGGGUAGCAAACAGGAUUAGAUACCCGGGUAGUC
This 464-nucleotide ribosomal RNA is filed under the name Vreelandella stevensii. Its description in RNAcentral is "partial 16S ribosomal RNA". It matches the Rfam family "Bacterial small subunit ribosomal RNA", at positions 338 to 795 of the family's 1533-position model. Lineage: Bacteria; Pseudomonadati; Pseudomonadota; Gammaproteobacteria; Oceanospirillales; Halomonadaceae. The record is from RNAcentral.